This 305-nucleotide ribosomal RNA is filed under the name uncultured bacterium. RNAcentral describes it as "bacterial SSU rRNA". It matches the Rfam family "Bacterial small subunit ribosomal RNA", at positions 337 to 634 of the family's 1533-position model. The record is from RNAcentral.
GCCUACGGGGGGCAGCAGUAGGGAAUCUUCCACAAUGGGCGAAAGCCUGAUGGAGCAACGCCGCGUGGGUGAAGAAGGUCUUCGGAUCGUAAAACCCUGUUGUUAGAGAAGAAAGUGCGUGAGAGUAGCUGUUCACAUUUCGACGGUAUCUAACCAGAAAGCCACGGCUAACUACGUGCCAGCAGCCGCGGUAAUACGUAGGUGGCAGGCGUUAUCCGGAUUUAUUGGGCGUAAAGGGAACGCAGGCGGUCUUUUAAGUCUGAUGUGAAAGCCUUCGGCUUAACCGGAGUAGUGCAUUGGAAACU